This 329-nucleotide long non-coding RNA is filed under the name Durio zibethinus. Its description in RNAcentral is "long non-coding RNA (DZIB_LNC002106)". Lineage: Eukaryota; Viridiplantae; Streptophyta; Magnoliopsida; Malvales; Malvaceae. The record is from RNAcentral.
AAAAAGCUGAGAUGUGGGCAGCAUUACUGUGAAUCUCUUUGUCAUAGUGGCCACUGCCCUCCAUGCUUGGAAACAAUCUUCACUGAUUUGACAUGUGCUUGUGGAAGAACUUCAAUCCCUCCUCCAUUGCCUUGUGGUACGCCACCUCCUUCAUGUCAACUUCCAUGCCCAGUUCCGCAGGCUUGUGGUCAUUCGUCUUCUCACAGCUGCCAUUUUGGAGAUUGUCCACCUUGUUCUGUACCUGUGGCAAAGGAGUGCAUUGGAGGACAUGUUGUUCUCAGGAACGUUCCUUGUGGAUCAAAAGAUAUCAGAUGCAACAAGCUCUGCGG